AUACGGAGGGUGCAAGCGUUAUUCGGAAUUACUGGGCGUAAAGGGCGCGUAGGCGGCGCAUUAAGUCAGUUGUGAAAGCCCGGGGCUCAACCCCGGAAGUGCAAUUGAAACUGGUGUGCUUGAGUAUGGUAGAGGGAAGUGGAAUUCCUGGUGUAGCGGUGAAAUGCGUAGAUAUCAGGAGGAACACCCGUGGCGAAGGCGACUUCCUGGACCAAUUCUGACGCUGAGGCGCGAAGGCGUGGGGAGCAAACAGGAUUAGAAACCCCAGUAGUCC
RNAcentral lists this ribosomal RNA (274 nucleotides) under uncultured bacterium. RNAcentral's name for it is "partial 16S ribosomal RNA". It matches the Rfam family "Bacterial small subunit ribosomal RNA", at positions 523 to 796 of the family's 1533-position model. The record is from RNAcentral.